AACAACAGGAUUCCCCUAGUAACGGCGAGUGAAGCGGGAAGAGCUCAAAUUUGUAAUCUGGCACUUUCAGUGUCCGAGUUGUAAUCUCGAGAAGUAUUUUCCGCGCCGGACCGCAUAAAAGUCUGUUGGAAUACAGCGUCAUAGUGGUGAGAACCCCGUACAUGAUGCGGAUGCCCGGUGCUUUGUGAUAUACUUUCGAAGAGUCGAGUUGUUUGGGAAUGCAGCUCAAAUUGGGUGGUAAAUUCCAUCUAAAGCUAAAUAUUGGCGAGAGACCGAUAGCGAACAAGUACCGUGAGGGAAAGAUGAAAAGCACUUUGGAAAGAGAGUUAACAGUACGUGAAAUUGUUGGAAGGGAAACGCUUGAAGUCAGACUUGCUAUUUGGAGUUCAGCCGCGAGGUGUAUUCUUCAAUUUGCAGGCCAGCAUCAGUUUUCGGGGGUGGAAAAUCGCGGUUUGAAGGUAGCAAUUUCGGUUGUGUUAUAGCUUUCCGCUGGAUUCAUCCUUGGGGACUGAGGAACGCAGUACGCUUUUUGCAAGGCUUUCGAGCUUUUCGUGCUUAGGAUGCUGGUGGAAUGGCUUUAAACGACCCGUCUUGAAACACGGACCAAGGAGUCUAACAUGCUUGCGAGUAUUUGGGUGUCAAACCCGGAUGCGCAAUGAAAGUGAAUGUAGGUGGGAUCCGCAAGGUGCACCAUCGACCGAUCUGGAUUUUUUAAGAUGGAUUUGAGUAAGAGCAAUUAUGUUGGGACCCGAAAGAUGGUGAACUAUGCCUGAAUAGGGCGAAGCCAGAGGAAACUCUGGUGGAGGCUCGUAGCGGUUCUGACGUGCAAAUCGAUCGUCAAAUUUGGGUAUAGGGGCGAAAGACUAAUCGAACCAUCUAGUAGCUGGUUCCUGCC
This 895-nucleotide ribosomal RNA is filed under the name uncultured fungus. RNAcentral's name for it is "LSU rRNA". It matches the Rfam family "Eukaryotic large subunit ribosomal RNA", at positions 63 to 962 of the family's 3401-position model. Lineage: Eukaryota; Fungi. The record is from RNAcentral.